This is a long non-coding RNA of Acipenser ruthenus (sterlet), 229 nucleotides long. RefSeq lists it as uncharacterized. The transcript has 3 exons. Lineage: Eukaryota; Metazoa; Chordata; Actinopteri; Acipenseriformes; Acipenseridae. The record is from RefSeq and is a predicted model, not a curated record.
GGCAGGGUAUAGUUUCUCCCUGGAUUUAAAAGGAUUGGAAGAGACGGUAAGGGGUGAAAUUAUCCCCACCCCUUCACUGGCUUCUUUCUUUCCAAUAAUCAAUCAGCUGCUUCCCCUAUGACUGACUUGCUUUCAGCCAGACGACACUGCUGGGGUGAACUUAUAUUCUUACCAGUGUGCUCAUAAGAGAUGAAUCCUUGAAUGACGUCCAGCUGGGUGAACCUGUCCA